This 541-nucleotide ribosomal RNA is filed under the name Cetraria ericetorum. RNAcentral's name for it is "eukaryotic LSU rRNA". The stretch from base 196 to 349 matches the Rfam family "5.8S ribosomal RNA". Lineage: Eukaryota; Fungi; Ascomycota; Lecanoromycetes; Lecanorales; Parmeliaceae. The record is from RNAcentral.
AAGGAUCAUUACUGAGAGAGGGGCUUCGCGCUCCCGGGGGUCUCGGCCCCUAACUCUUCACCCUUUGUGUACCAACCUUUGUUGCUUUGGCGGGUCCGAGGACCUCUCGCGCCGCCCACAGGCCGGCGAGCGCCCGCCAGAGGCCCAUUAAAAUCUGCUUAUUAGUGAUGUCCGAGCGAAAAACACAAUAAAUAAAACUUUCAACAACGGAUCUCUUGGUUCCAGCAUCGAUGAAGAACGCAGCGAAAUGCGAUAACUAAUGUGAAUUGCAGAAUUCAGUGAAUCAUCGAGUCUUUGAACGCACAUUGCGCCCCUCGGUAUUCCGGGGGGCAUGCCUGUUCGAGCGUCAUUAUACCCUUCAAGCGUAGCUUGGUAUUGGGCCUCGCCCCCGUGGCGUGCCCGAAAAGCAGUGGCGGUCCGGGGCGACUUUAAGCGCAGUAAAAUUAUCCCGCUUUGAAAGUUCGCUUCGUGGCCUGCCAGAUAACCCCGUACAUUUCAAAUCAUUGACCUCGGAUCAGGUAGGGAUACCCGCUGAACUUAA